GUACUCUCACACUCCCAAUUGCUUUGGAUUGGGAGCGGUGGACUUGGGUGUUGCUGCUUGACUGAGGCUCACCUGAAAUAUGUUAGUGCACCUCUUGAUUGGACAUAGUACGGCGUGAUAAGUGUCUUCGCCGGCUCCUCGCAAAGAGGGUGGCCGAUCGGGAGCUCUGUUGCUUCAAACUGUCUUCGGACAAUCUUCUGGCG
RNAcentral lists this unclassified non-coding RNA (203 nucleotides) under uncultured Sebacinaceae. Its description in RNAcentral is "sequence contains ITS2". The record is from RNAcentral. Lineage: Eukaryota; Fungi; Basidiomycota; Agaricomycetes; Sebacinales; Sebacinaceae. RNAcentral also lists the same sequence under 1 other name.